RNAcentral lists this ribosomal RNA (887 nucleotides) under uncultured bacterium. RNAcentral's name for it is "bacterial SSU rRNA". It matches the Rfam family "Bacterial small subunit ribosomal RNA", at positions 8 to 916 of the family's 1533-position model. The record is from RNAcentral.
AGAGUUUGAUCCUGGCUCAGGACGAACGCUGGCGGCGUGCUUAACACAUGCAAGUCGAGCGGUAAGGCCCUUCGGGGUACACGAGCGGCGAACGGGUGAGUAACACGUGGGUAACCUGCCCCGUACUUUGGGAUAAGCCCGGGAAACUGGGUCUAAUACCGGAUAUGACUCCAUGCCGCAUGGUGUGGGGUGGAAAGUUCUGGCGGUACGGGAUGGGCCCGCGGCCUAUCAGCUUGUUGGCAGGGUAAUGGCCUACCAAGGCGACGACGGGUAGCCGGCCUGAGAGGGCGACCGGCCACACUGGGACUGAGACACGGCCCAGACUCCUACGGGAGGCAGCAGUGGGGAAUAUUGCGCAAUGGGCGGAAGCCUGACGCAGCGACGCCGCGUGCGGGAUGAAGGCCUUCGGGUUGUAAACCGCUUUCAGCAGGGACGAAUCUGACGGUACCUGCAGAAGAAGCGCCGGCUAACUACGUGCCAGCAGCCGCGGUAAUACGUAGGGCGCAAGCGUUGUCCGGAAUUAUUGGGCGUAAAGAGCUCGUAGGCGGCCAGUCGCGUCUGCUGUGAAAUCCCGGGGCUCAACCCCGGGCGUGCAGUGGAUACGGGCUGGCUAGAGGCAGGCAGGGGAGAACGGAAUUCCUGGUGUAGCGGUGAAAUGCGCAGAUAUCAGGAGGAACACCGGUGGCGAAGGCGGUUCUCUGGGCCUGUUCUGACGCUGAGGAGCGAAAGCGUGGGGAGCGAACAGGAUUAGAUACCCUGGUAGUCCACGCCGUAAACGAUGUCCACCAGGUGUUAGGGGUAUCGACCCCUCCAGCGCCGCAGCCAACGUGAUGAGUGGACCGCCUGGGGAGUACGGCCGCAAGGUUAAAACUCAAAGGAAUUGACGG